GUGCCAGCAGCCGCGGUAACACGUAGGGUCCGAGCGUUGUCCGGAAUUACUGGGCGUAAAGCGUGCGCAGGCGGUUGGGUCAGUCGCUGGUGAAAGCCCCACGCUCAACGUGGGAAUGGCCAACGAGACGGCCCGACUGGAGGCAGGGAGAGGCCGGUGGAAUUCCGGGUGUAGUGGUGAAAUGCGUAGAGAUCCGGAGGAACACCAGAGGCGAAGGCGGCCGGCUGGACCUGACCUGACGCUGAGGCACGAAGGCGUGGGGAGCGAACGGGAUUAGAUACCCCCGUAGUCC
This 292-nucleotide ribosomal RNA is filed under the name uncultured bacterium. RNAcentral describes it as "partial 16S ribosomal RNA". It matches the Rfam family "Bacterial small subunit ribosomal RNA", at positions 505 to 796 of the family's 1533-position model. The record is from RNAcentral.